This is a transfer RNA of Ruegeria pomeroyi DSS-3, 71 nucleotides long. It matches the Rfam family "tRNA". Rfam says of the family: Transfer RNA (tRNA) molecules are approximately 80 nucleotides in length. The record is from Rfam. Lineage: Bacteria; Pseudomonadati; Pseudomonadota; Alphaproteobacteria; Rhodobacterales; Roseobacteraceae.
GCGGGUAUGGUGUAGUGGUAGCGCGCCGGCUUCCCAAGCCUGAAGUGCGGGUUCGAUUCCCGCUACCCGCU